AGUAGAAUGGAUGAUCGCGGGGAUGACUCAGUCAUCCGUGAGGAAAGUCCGGGCUUCACAGGGCAGGAUGCCGGAUAACGUCCGGUUGAGGUGACUCAAAGGAAAGUGCAACAGAAAGUAUACCGCCUGUCUUUGACAGGUAAGGGUGAAAUGGCGAGGUAAGAGCUCACCGCCUGGCUGGUAACAGACAGGGCAUUGUAAACCCCAUCCGAAGCAAGACCAAGACGAAGUGCUGACGCGGCCCGCCGAGCUUCAGGUAGGUUGCUUGAGCUGUGCAGUAAUGUACAGCCUAGAUGGAUGAUCAUCCACGACAUAACCCGGCUUACAGUUCUACUCGC
Molecule: RNase P RNA, 338 nt
Filed under: uncultured Eubacterium sp.
Lineage: Bacteria; Bacillati; Bacillota; Clostridia; Eubacteriales; Eubacteriaceae
Description: Bacterial RNase P class A
Rfam family: Bacterial RNase P class A
About the family: Ribonuclease P (RNase P) is a ubiquitous endoribonuclease, found in archaea, bacteria and eukarya as well as chloroplasts and mitochondria.
Source: RNAcentral